CAGCAGCCGCGGUAAUACGAAGGGGGCUAGCGUUGCUCGGAAUGACUGGGCGUAAAGGGCGCGUAGGCGGCGGCCAAAGUCAGGCGUGAAAUUCACGGGCUCAACCUGGGGGCUGCGUUUGAUACUUGGUUGCUUGAGUGGGGAAGAGGGUCGUGGAAUUCCCAGUGUAGAGGUGAAAUUCGUAGAUAUUGGGAAGAACACCGGUGGCGAAGGCGGCGACCUGGUCCUUUACUGACGCUGAGGCGCGAAAGCGUGGGGAGCAAACAGGAUUAGAGACCCCAGUAGUCCCUGUCUCUUAUAA
Molecule: ribosomal RNA, 301 nt
Filed under: uncultured bacterium
Lineage: Bacteria
Description: partial 16S ribosomal RNA
Rfam family: Bacterial small subunit ribosomal RNA
Source: RNAcentral